RNAcentral lists this long non-coding RNA (1642 nucleotides) under Arachis ipaensis. RNAcentral's name for it is "long non-coding RNA (AIPA_LNC001840)". The record is from RNAcentral. Lineage: Eukaryota; Viridiplantae; Streptophyta; Magnoliopsida; Fabales; Fabaceae.
GCCAUCAAUAGAAUUCUCACAACUUUCCAGCACAGAAACACUUGAUUUUGUGCUAUCAGAAGGUGGAGAACCCCUGACAUCAUCUGUGGUUUCAACUUCACAGGUUCCCAUAGAAAGUGAAGCAGCAUCGGUAACCAUCGAGAAAGGUGGAUUGCUAUCUUCUAUAGGGUAAGGCACCUCAGCUUGAGAGAAACUCACAUCAUCUGAACUCGAAGAAAUACUAGUGUCAUAAGAUUCACUACUUCGAUGCUCUAAUGAAUUCUCCUGUAAAGACAUUUCAGACAAUUCUGGGGCAUCUGAAGUCGGUGUAUUGGAAUUGUCACUGUCAACAUCAAUUUUAUUGGCUUCAUUGUAAUCAUCUUCGAGACCUGAGAAAGAGGACUUCCACUUUUUCCCCCUCCACAUAAGUAUGUGUUCAUUCUCAAAUGAGAGCAAUAUGCAUGGAACAAGAUCCUACAGUCAAGAAACAAAAUUGGAAGAAAAAUGUUACUUAUUAUCCUAUAUCACCAACGAAAAAAGGGCAAAAAAAAAAAAAUCUUCAAUGUUGUUUGCAAGAUAUAGGAGAAAAUGGCUAUACCCUUAGUUUUCCUCCAAUCCUUCGAUAAUCACUUUCAUUUAGUCCUUGACAAUUUAUUCGCACUAGUUCACACUCUUCAAAAGCCUCUCUGACAUUUGCUACAAGGUCACAGUAAACACCAUUUUUUGCUGUAUAUAAAGAUAGAAGUUAGUCUCACAUGGUCAGCAAAAAAAGAGCAAAAACUUGCUUUCUUGUUAAAUUGUAAUGAAAAUCUGAAAGAUUCUACCUAGCUUGAAUAUCGGUUCCAAGUUCCUUCCCUUCCGACGAAAUUCAGUUGCUUCUUCUAGUGUUAGGCCUUCUGGAACUCGCUUAACCAACCUAGGAUAUACUGGAGAUACAGGUUUCCACAGCAUCAGAGGAAAACGUUGGCGUGUUCUAUAGUUGUAGUUUCUGCCCCGGAAGAGGUAUACCGUACCACUUUUCCUAUGAAUGAUUUUUCCCCCAGUCCUUUCCUACGAAACCAGACAAAGACCAUAAGUAAUGAAAAACAAUUAAUUUCUUUAUUGAGGAAUGUCAGAGGACAUGGUCAACUCAGAAAAGUAAGAUCAGCGAAGGCAUCGUAAAGAAAAGAAAAACAAAAGUUAAAAAUUUAUAUCCUUGAGAGAAGCCAAAGAAAAUGUCAUCGGAAACCGUAGCCCCCCACCCCAAAACAAAAGAUGCAUGAACUAUAUUCUCCUUUACCAUUUAAAUUGCAUAGCAGGAUGAACAAAUAAACGAAUGUUUUAACCCAAAAGCAAAUACACAUCGACCACACAAGAUGAGGUUUUACUUCCAAAACACAAGCACAGAUUUGAGGUCAUUAUGAAUUGAUAUCAGUGAAAAGUGGGACAGUUGAGAGCAGAAAAAACCAACCUCUAACUGUUGGCACACAUUAUCCAUGUCUCCCAUAGAAAGUGAAGCAGCAUCGGUAACCAUCGAGAAAGGUGGAUUGCUAUCUUCUAUAGGGUAAGGCACCUCAGCUUGAGAGAAACUCACAUCAUCUGAACUCGAAGAAAUACUAGUGUCAUAAGAUUCACUGCUUAGAUGCUCUAAUGAAUUCUCCUGUGGCAUUUCAGACAAUUCUGG